This 28-nucleotide non-coding RNA is filed under the name Mus musculus (house mouse). The record is from RNAcentral. Lineage: Eukaryota; Metazoa; Chordata; Mammalia; Rodentia; Muridae.
UACCAUAACCUGGAAGAGGUUAGUGAUG